This 427-nucleotide ribosomal RNA is filed under the name uncultured bacterium. Its description in RNAcentral is "bacterial SSU rRNA". It matches the Rfam family "Bacterial small subunit ribosomal RNA", at positions 355 to 775 of the family's 1533-position model. The record is from RNAcentral.
UCGAGAAUUUUUCUCAAUGGGGGAAACCCUGAAGGAGCGACGCCGCGUGAAGGAUGAAGGUCUUCGGAUUGUAAACUUCUGUCAUUAGAGAACAAGUGUCACCGAGUAACUACCGGUGGCUUGAUAGUAUCUGAAGAGGAAGAGACGGCUAACUCUGUGCCAGCAGCCGCGGUAAUACAGAGGUCUCAAGCGUUGUUCGGAUUCAUUGGGCGUAAAGGGUGCGUAGGUGGCGAGGUAAGUUGGAUGUGAAAUCCUGGGGCUCAACCCUAGAACUGCAUUCAAUACUGCCUUGCUAGAGUACUGGAGAGGAGAUUGGAAUUUACGGUGUAGCAGUGAAAUGCGUAGAUAUCGUAAGGAAGACCAGUGGCGAAGGCGGAUCUCUGGACAGUUACUGACACUGAGGCACGAAGGCCAGGGGAGCAAACGG